CGGCGAGUGAAGCGGCAACAGCUCAAAUUUGAAAUCUGGCUUCGGCCCGAGUUGUAAUUUGCAGAGGAUGUUUCUGGCGCGGUGCCUUCCGAGUUCCCUGGAACGGGACGCCAUAGAGGGUGAGAGCCCCGUAUGGUUGGAUACCAAGCCUGUGUGAAACUCCUUCGACGAGUCGAGUAGUUUGGGAAUGCUGCUCAAAAUGGGAGGUAAAUCUCUUCUAAAGCUAAAUAUUGGCCAGAGACCGAUAGCGCACAAGUAGAGUGAUCGAAAGAUGAAAAGCACCUUGAAAAGGGGGUUAAACAGUACGUGAAAUUGUUGAAAGGGAAGCGCUCAUGACCAGACUUGUGCUGGGCAGCUCAUCCGGGGUUCUCCCCGGUGCAUUCUGCCCAGUUCAGGCCAGCAUCGAUUUUUGCUGGGGGAUAAGAACGGUAGGAACGUGGCCCUCCUUCGGGAGGGUGUUAUAGCCUACCGUACGAUACCCUAGCGGAGAUCGAGGUUCGCGCAUCUGCAAGGAUGCUGGCGUAAUGGUCAUCAGCGACCCGUCUUGAAACACGGACCAAGGAGUCGUCCAUUAGAGCGAGCGUUUGGGUGUAAAACCCGCACGCGUAAUGAAAGUGAAAUUAGGUGAGAGCUUCGGCGCAUCAUCGACCGAUCCUGAUGUUCUCGGAUGGAUUUGAGUAAGAGUUUUAACGGACGGACCCGAAAGACAGUGAACUAUGCUUGUAUAGGGUGAAGCCAGAGGAAACUCUGGUGGAGGCUCGCAGCGGUUCUGACGUGCAAAUCGAUCGUCAAAUAUGAGCAUGGGGGCGAAAGACUAA
This 818-nucleotide ribosomal RNA is filed under the name Coniella vitis. Its description in RNAcentral is "partial large subunit ribosomal RNA". It matches the Rfam family "Eukaryotic large subunit ribosomal RNA", at positions 87 to 934 of the family's 3401-position model. The record is from RNAcentral. Lineage: Eukaryota; Fungi; Ascomycota; Sordariomycetes; Diaporthales; Schizoparmaceae.